This 425-nucleotide ribosomal RNA is filed under the name uncultured prokaryote. Its description in RNAcentral is "bacterial SSU rRNA". It matches the Rfam family "Bacterial small subunit ribosomal RNA", at positions 355 to 774 of the family's 1533-position model. The record is from RNAcentral.
UGGGGAAUCUUGGGCAAUGGGCGCAAGCCUGACCCAGCGAUGCCGCGUGCAGGAGGAAGCCCCUCGGGGUGUAAACUGCUGUCAGGGGUUAGCAAGCGAAGGGAGUUAACAGCUCCAGGCGUUGAGCAGCCCCAGAGGAAGCCUCGACUAACUCUGUGCCAGCAGUCGCAGUAAGACAGAGGAGGCAAGCGUUGUUCGGAAUCACUGGGCUUAAAGCGCGUGUAGGCGGCUUAGAAAGUGUCGUGUGAAAUCCCGCGGCUCAACCGCGGAACUGCACGGCAAACUACUUGGCUUGAGGUCGGUAGAGGUGCCUGGAACUCUAGGUGGAGCGGUGAAAUGCGUAGAUAUCUAGAGGAACGCCAGAAGCGAAAGCGGGGCACUGGGCCGAUUCUGACGCUGAGACGCAAAAGCGUGGGGAGCAAACA